Molecule: ribosomal RNA, 398 nt
Filed under: uncultured bacterium
Lineage: Bacteria
Description: bacterial SSU rRNA
Rfam family: Bacterial small subunit ribosomal RNA
Source: RNAcentral
ACGAACGCUGGCGGCGUGCUUAACACAUGCAAGUCGAGCGGUAAGGCCCUUUCGGGGGUACACGAGCGGCGAACGGGUGAGUAACACGUGGGUGACCUGCCCUCAGCUCUGGGAUAAGCCUGGGAAACCGGGUCUAAUACUGGAUAUGACUCCAUGACGCAUGUUGUGGGGUGGAAAGCCUUGUGCGGCUGAGGAUGGGCCCGCGGCCUAUCAGCUUGUUGGUGGGGUGAGGCCUACCAAGGCGACGACGGGUAGCCGGCCUGAGAGGGCGACCGGCCACACUGGGACUGAGACACGGCCCAGACUCCUACGGGAGGCAGCAGUGGGGAAUCUUGCGCAAUGGGCGAAAGCCUGACGCAGCGACGCCGCGUGAGGGAUGACGGCCUGGUGUAACUCUU